RNAcentral lists this ribosomal RNA (3021 nucleotides) under Thermotoga sp. KOL6. RNAcentral describes it as "bacterial LSU rRNA". It matches the Rfam family "Bacterial large subunit ribosomal RNA". Lineage: Bacteria; Thermotogati; Thermotogota; Thermotogae; Thermotogales; Thermotogaceae. The record is from RNAcentral.
GGUCAAGGUACUAAGGGCACGCGGUGGAUGCCUUGGCGGCGGGAGGCGAUGAAGGGCGUGGCAAGCUGCGAUAAGCCCGGGGGAGCCGCAAGCAGGCGUUGAUCCCGGGAUUCCCGAAUGGGGAAACCUGGGUGGCCGAUAAGGUCACUCGCCGCCGAAAGGCGGUGCGACACCGGGGGAAGUGAAACAUCUCAGUACCCCGAGGAAAAGAAAUCAAACGAGAUUCCCCUAGUAGCGGCGAGCGAACGGGGAGGAGCCCAAACCAGCGUGGUGUCAAAGCCCGUGGGCGUUGCCACGCUGGGGUUGCGGGACACGGCCGGGCGAGGCCACGGACUCGCCGGGGAGUUACAAAUCCCUCCUCUAGCCGAACCACCUGGGAAGGUGGGCCGGAGAGGGUGACAGCCCCGUAGGCGAAAGGGGAGGGACUCCCUGGGCCGUGAUCCCGAGUACCGCGGGACACGUGGAAUCCCGUGGGAAGCUGGGGGGACCACCCUCCAAGGCUAAAUACUACCCGCCGUCCGAUAGCGCACCAGUACCGUGAGGGAAAGGUGAAAAGCACCCCGGAAGGGGAGUGAAAGAGGACCUGAAACCGCGUGCCUACAAGAAGUCGGAGCCCCCAUUUGGGGGUGACGGCGUGCCUUUUGAUUAAUGAGCCCGCGAGUUGCCGUCGGUGGCGAGGUUAAGCCGAGAGAGGCGGAGCCGUAGCGAAAGCGAGUCCGAAUAGGGCGCUCAGUCACCGGCGGCAGACCCGAAGCCGGGUGAGCUACCCCUGGGCAGGGUGAAGGUGGGUUAAAACCCACUGGAGGCCCGAACCGGUGGACAGUGAAAAGUCCUCGGAUGACCUGGGGGUAGGAGUGAAAAGCUAACCGAACCCGGUGAUAGCUGGUUCUCCCCGAAAUGCAUUGAGGUGCAGCCUCGGGUGGUCUGUGCAGGGGGUAGAGCACUGAUGGGGCUAGGGGGUUUUCCUCCGAACCCCGUCAAACUCCGAAUCCCUGCACACAAAGCCCGGGAGUGAGCCCGCGGGGGAUAAGCUCCGCGGACGAGAGGGGAACAACCCAGACCGCCGGCUAAGGGCCCGAAGAGGUGGCUAAGUGGGAAAGGAUGUGGAGCGCCUAAGACAGCUGGGAUGUUGGCUUAGAAGCAGCCAUCAUUUAAAGAGUGCGUAACAGCUCACCAGCCGAGGCGCUCUGCACCGAAAAUGUAACGGGGCUUAAGCCACCCCCCGAAGCCGCGGGUCAGUACCUCCACUGGAGGUACUGGCGGUAGGGGAGCGUUCCGCUGUAGGGUGAAGGCGGACCCGCGAGGGCCGCUGGACGAGGCGGAAGUGAGAAUGCGGGCAUGAGUAACGAGAGGAGGGUGAGAAUCCCUCCCCCCGUAAGCCCAAGGGUACCUGGGGAAGGGUCGUCCGCCCAGGGUUAGCCGGGACCCUAAGGUGAACCCGAAAGGGGUAGCCGAAGGGAAGCCGGUUAAUAUUCCGGCGCCACCUGCGGUCGAUGGCACGAGGGGUGACGCAGGAGGGUAAGUGCCGGGGGCAAGUGGCAUGCCCCUCCAAGCGGUUAGGGCGAUGACGGGCGUAGGUAAAUCCGCGCCCCGAGCCUGAGCCGUGAUGGGGAGGUCCCUUCGGGGACCAACGGCGCUGACCCCACACUGCCGAGAAAAACCUCGCGUGCCGCUUGAGACCGUAGGUGCCCGUUCCGCAAACCGACACAGGUGGGCGGGCUGAGAAGGCUCAGGGGAGCGGGUGAACCCUCGCCAAGGAACUCGGCAAAUUGGCCCCGUAACUUCGGGAGAAGGGGUGCCGCGUUAGGGUGAACCCAGGGGAAGGGGCAACCCGGAAACUGGGGGAGCCCGAGGCGGUCGCAGUGACAAGGCCCUGGCGACUGUUUACCAAAAACACAGGUCUCUGCUAACUCGAAAAGAGGAAGUAUAGGGACUGACGCCUGCCCAGUGCCGGAAGGUUAAGGGGAGGGGUGAGGCUCCCCUUGUGGGAGCGUAGCUCCGACCCGAAGCCCCGGUAAACGGCGGCCGUAACUAUAACGGUCCUAAGGUAGCGAAAUUCCUUGUCGGGUAAGUUCCGACCUGCAUGAAUGGCGUAACGACUGGGGCACUGUCUCGGCGGGGGGCCCGGUGAAAUUUCAGUCUGGGUGAAGAUGCCCAGUACCCGCGGCUAGACGGAAAGACCCCGUGGAGCUUUACUGCAGCCUGGUAUUGGGCUCUGGUGCAUCGUGUAUAGAAUAGGUGGGAGGCUGUGAAGCCGCCUCGCCAGGGGCGGUGGAGCCGCCAGUGGAAUACCACCCUCGGUGCACUGGAGUCCUAACCUGACCCUGUGAAAAGCAGGGUGGGGACAGUGCCAGGUGGGCAGUUUGACUGGGGCGGUCACCUCCUAAAAGGUAACGGAGGUGCGCAAAGGUCGGCUCAGGUGGGUUGGAAAUCCACCGUAGAGUGCAAGGGCAUAAGCCGGCCUGACUGCGAGGCCGACAGGCCGAGCAGGGGGGAAACCCGGCCCUAGUGACCCGGCGGUCCCGUGUGGAAGGGCCGUCGAUCAACGGAUAAAAGUUACCCCGGGGAUAACAGGCUGGUCCCGCCCGAGAGUUCACAUCGACGGCGGGGUUCGGCACCUCGAUGUCGGCUCAUCCCAUCCUGGGGCUGAAGCAGGUCCCAAGGGUUGGGCUGUUCGCCCAUUAAAGGGGUACGUGAGCUGGGUUCAGACCGUCGUGAGACAGGUCGGUCCCUAUCUGCCGCGGGCGUAGGAGGCUUGAGGGGGGUCCUCCCUUGUACGAGAGGACCGGGAGGAGGGGGCCUCUGGUGUACCGGCUGUCGCGCCAGCGGCAUACGCCGGGUAGCUAUGCCCCUAAGCGAUAACCGCUGAAAGCAUCUAAGCGGGAAGCGCGCCCCAAGAUUAGGCCUCCCAUCCCGUUAAGGGAGUAAGGCCGGUCCGAGAAGAGGACCUUGAUAGGCCGGGGGUGUAAGCGCCGCAAGGCGUUGAGCCCACCGGUACUAAUCGGCCGAGGCCUUGACCUC